RNAcentral lists this ribosomal RNA (253 nucleotides) under uncultured bacterium. RNAcentral's name for it is "partial 16S ribosomal RNA". It matches the Rfam family "Bacterial small subunit ribosomal RNA", at positions 524 to 776 of the family's 1533-position model. The record is from RNAcentral.
UACGGAGGGGGCUAGCGUUGCUCGGAAUCACUGGGCGUAAAGGGCGCGUAGGCGGCCAUUCAAGUCGGAGGUGAAAGCCCAGGGCUCAACCCUGGAAUUGCCUUCGAUACUGUUUGGCUAGAGACCGGAAGAGGUAAGUGGAACUGCGAGUGUAGAGGUGAAAUUCGUAGAUAUUCGCAAGAACACCAGUGGCGAAGGCGGCUUACUGGUCCGGUUCUGACGCUGAGGCGCGAAAGCGUGGGGAGCAAACAGG